Non-coding RNA from Pelobates cultripes (western spadefoot toad), 397 nucleotides. Lineage: Eukaryota; Metazoa; Chordata; Amphibia; Anura; Pelobatidae. The record is from the annotation of a GenBank genome assembly.
GGUGUCUAUAAGUCCGUCUGAUUAAAAUAAUGGAGUUUAUUUCAGCAGAAAUGCCUCUUGUGGCUGCCAGUAUAAAGGCAGGUGGAGGUAGGUAACCCUGUAAUGAAAACAUUGCCCUUUCUGCAGAAUGGAAGUGUUUUUUUUUAGCAGCAGGAUUAUACAUGGCACCCAGACCACGUCAUUGAGAUGAAAUGGUCUGGGUGCCUAUAGAGUUCCUUUAUAAUUGUGAGAAAUUGGCAUUUGGAAUUCUGACUGAUCUAUGAACUGUAGCAUACUGAGCAAUAAUACAGACUGCAAGUAACAGAGAGAGGUUAAAGGACAAAUGUCAUCACAUUUUCACUACUCUUGUUUAUUACAUUUAGUGAAACAAUGAUUUUUGUUUGGUGUGAAACUGUAG